AUACUUACCUGGACGGGGUAGACGGGCGAUAAAGAAGGCCCGUGGCCUAGAUCAAUGGCUCACAUUGCACUUGGUGAGCGCGUUGGUUUACCAUCUCCCCAAGUGGGAGAGUGGACGUCAUAAUUUGUGGUAGAGGGGGUACGCGUUCGCGCGGCCCCUG
Oryza glaberrima (African rice) is the source of this 160-nucleotide non-coding RNA. NCBI's taxonomy places the organism in Eukaryota, Viridiplantae, Streptophyta, Magnoliopsida, Poales, Poaceae. The record is from Rfam.